This 468-nucleotide ribosomal RNA is filed under the name uncultured bacterium. RNAcentral describes it as "partial 16S ribosomal RNA". It matches the Rfam family "Bacterial small subunit ribosomal RNA", at positions 28 to 507 of the family's 1533-position model. The record is from RNAcentral.
GACGAACGCUGACGGCGUGCUUAACACAUGCAAGUCGAACGGAAAGGCCCUGCUUUUGUGGGGUGCUCGAGUGGCGAACGGGUGAGUAACACGUGAGUAACCUGCCCUUGACUUUGGGAUAACUUCAGGAAACUGGGGCUAAUACCGGAUAGGAGCUCCUGCUGCAUGGUGGGGGUUGGAAAGUUUCGGCGGUUGGGGAUGGACUCGCGGCUUAUCAGCUUGUUGGUGGGGUAGUGGCUUACCAAGGCUUUGACGGGUAGCCGGCCUGAGAGGGUGACCGGCCACAUUGGGACUGCGAUACGGCCCAGACUCCUACGGGAGGCAGCAGUGGGGAAUAUUGCACAAUGGGCGGAAGCCUGAUGCAGCAACGCCGCGUGCGGGAUGACGGCCUUCGGGUUGUAAACCGCUUUCGCCUGUGACGAAGCGUGAGUGACGGUAAUGGGUAAAGAAGCACCGGCUAACUACGUG